GGGGGUUUAGCUCAGCGGCAUAAGCGCCUGCCUUGCAAGCAGGCAGUCCUGAGUUCGAUCCCCGGUACCGAUA
Transfer RNA from Cavia porcellus (domestic guinea pig), 73 nucleotides. It matches the Rfam family "tRNA". Rfam says of the family: Transfer RNA (tRNA) molecules are approximately 80 nucleotides in length. Their secondary structure includes four short double-helical elements and three loops (D, anti-codon, and T loops). Lineage: Eukaryota; Metazoa; Chordata; Mammalia; Rodentia; Caviidae. The record is from Rfam.